Molecule: long non-coding RNA, 194 nt
Organism: Pleuronectes platessa (European plaice)
Lineage: Eukaryota; Metazoa; Chordata; Actinopteri; Pleuronectiformes; Pleuronectidae
Exons: 4
Source: RefSeq, a predicted model, not a curated record
GGAAGGAAAGGGCACAGAGAAGAAAAGAGAAGUGGAGAGACUUGAUGUGGACUGUUAUCAACAGCUCUGUGGGAGAUUAUCACCUUGAAUAUUACAGAUGAGUUUGUUACAGUCACGACAGACGCAUCAUCUGGUAAUUUACCCAACUUUUGCUACAGUCACGACAGACGCAUCAUCUGGUAAUUUACCCAACU